Molecule: ribosomal RNA, 253 nt
Filed under: uncultured bacterium
Lineage: Bacteria
Description: partial 16S ribosomal RNA
Rfam family: Bacterial small subunit ribosomal RNA
Source: RNAcentral
UACAGAGGUCUCAAGCGUUGUUCGGAUUCAUUGGGCGUAAAGGGUGCGUAGGCGGCGCGGUAAGUCGGGUGUGAAAUCUCGGGGCUUAACUCCGAAACUGCAUUCGAUACUGCCGUGCUUGAGGACUGGAGAGGAGACUGGAAUUUACGGUGUAGCGGUGAAAUGCGUAGAUAUCGUAAGGAAGACCGGUGGCGAAGGCGGGCCUCUGGACAGUUCCUGACGCUGAGGCGCGAAAGCCAGGGGAGCGAACGGG